This 247-nucleotide ribosomal RNA is filed under the name uncultured Actinomycetes bacterium. RNAcentral describes it as "uncultured actinobacterium partial 16S ribosomal RNA". It matches the Rfam family "Bacterial small subunit ribosomal RNA", at positions 28 to 276 of the family's 1533-position model. The record is from RNAcentral. Lineage: Bacteria; Bacillati; Actinomycetota; Actinomycetes.
GACGAACGCUGGCGGCGUGCUUAACACAUGCAAGUCGAGCGGUAAGGCCCAGCGUGCUGGGUACACGAGCGGCGAACGGGUGAGUAACACGUGGGUGACCUGCCCUCAGCUCUGGGAUAAGCCUGGGAAACUGGGUCUAAUACUGGAUGUUCACUUUCUGCUGCAUGGUGGGGGUGGAAAGUUUUUCGGCUGGGGAUGGGCCCGCGGCCUAUCAGCUUGUUGGUGGGGUGAUGGCCUACCAAGGCGA